AUGUGAGCUUGUGCGUAAUGUAAAAUUUUGCAUAGAACUCUUUGAAGUUCUGAUUGUUGAAUUGUUGACAAUUAUUAAUAAUGAUGGUGUGUGGUAGACUGAAUCUGUAUAUGAUUGACUUCUAAAUAAAGUCUUCUAUCUUACUUUAAGUGAUUUAUGCUAAAAGUUCAGCUUCCAUCUAUUUGAUGAAGUAAUCAAUGGCAACCACUAUG
Molecule: long non-coding RNA, 212 nt
Filed under: Elaeis guineensis (African oil palm)
Lineage: Eukaryota; Viridiplantae; Streptophyta; Magnoliopsida; Arecales; Arecaceae
Description: long non-coding RNA (EGUI_LNC025425)
Source: RNAcentral